CACGUAGGGCGCAAGCGUUGUCCGGAAUUAUUGGGCGUAAAGAGCUCGUAGGCGGUCUGUCGCGUCGGCUGUGAAAACCCGGGGCUCAACCCCGGGCCUGCAGUCGAUACGGGCAGACUAGAGUGUGGUAGGGGAGACUGGAAUUCCUGGUGUAGCGGUGAAAUGCGCAGAUAUCAGGAGGAACACCGGUGGCGAAGGCGGGUCUCUGGGCCAUAACUGACGCUGAGGAGCGAAAGCGUGGGGAGCGAACAGG
This 253-nucleotide ribosomal RNA is filed under the name uncultured bacterium. RNAcentral's name for it is "partial 16S ribosomal RNA". It matches the Rfam family "Bacterial small subunit ribosomal RNA", at positions 524 to 776 of the family's 1533-position model. The record is from RNAcentral.